This 1118-nucleotide ribosomal RNA is filed under the name Charinus carajas. Its description in RNAcentral is "16S ribosomal RNA". The stretch from base 630 to 1021 matches the Rfam family "Bacterial large subunit ribosomal RNA", at positions 2049 to 2651 of the family's 2925-position model. Lineage: Eukaryota; Metazoa; Arthropoda; Arachnida; Amblypygi; Charinidae. The record is from RNAcentral.
UCCCGAGGGUUAUUUGAUUUAUUUAGGUAUAGGCAGGUUUUUGUUGUAAGAAGAUCUGGGAUGCUUAGAUGGGAAUGAGAUGUUAUUACGGAAUGGAGGAUAUCUGGUUCUGGUGGUUAAGGUUUGAGAUCGGGGAGUGAUUUGUAGGGUUUGUAGAUGAUUUUUAAAAUCUAUUGGGGAUUAGCUCAUAGGGGGAUAUAGAUUAAUUUAAUGUGUGUAUAUAAAGAGGCUUAAGAGUGGCUGAAGUGUAAUAACUAAGUAUUGAUUGAGAGGAUGAGUUUUGUAUUGAUUUAUCUAUUGGAUAGGCUUUUUAUUAAGAAGAUUUUAGUAUAAUGAUAGGAUGAGUAAAGUGUUAGAGAUUUAGUGAUUUGUGAAUAAUGGGUAUAAUGUGUGUAUGAUUUGUGUAGGCUUGAAAGAGGAAUUAGGCAAAAAUAUGGAUCUCGCCUGUUUAGCAAAAACAUGGUUUUUUGGUGUGAUAAAAAAUCUGAUUCUGCCCACUGUUGAGUAUAAAUGGCCGCAGUAUUUUGACUGUGCUAAGGUAGCAUAAUAAUUAGUUUUUUUAUUGAAGACUGGAAUGAAGGAUUGGACGAAGGUUUAGCUGUCUUUUUUUGGGGGAUUGAAUUUUGUGUUUGUGUGAGGAAACACAAAUUGAGCUGAGGGACGAGAAGACCCUAUUAAGUUUGAUGUUUAUGUUGGGUUUAUAAUUGUGGAGAUUAAAGUUUGAUGGAUGCAUUUUACUGGGGCGGUAACAAGAGAAGAGUAUCUUUUGGAUGUGAGAUGAGUGUAGGGACUUCUGAGAGAUCCAUUAUGGGGAUAGUGAAAAGGGGAUUAAAUUACUAUAGGGAUAACAGCGUAAAAUUUUUGGAAAGGUCAAAUUGAUAAGAAGUUUUGCGACCUCGAUGUUGAAUUAAGAAGUCUUCUUGGAGUAGAAGCUAGGGGAGAGAGUCUGUUCGACUCUUGAAUUCUUACAUGAUUUGAGUUCAGAUCGGUGUGAGCCAGGUCGGUUUCUAUCUUUAGUUUGGGGUUUUACAUUUUAGUACGAAAGGACCAGAUGUAGGUUUAUUAAGUUGGUAAUUAGCUUGGCAGAAAUAUAAAUGUAUUUGAUUUAGAAUCAAAAU